RNAcentral lists this long non-coding RNA (1522 nucleotides) under Felis catus (domestic cat). RNAcentral describes it as "lncRNA (ENSFCAG00000049932.1)". The record is from RNAcentral. Lineage: Eukaryota; Metazoa; Chordata; Mammalia; Carnivora; Felidae.
AUGUUUAAUGUAGGUGAAGAUGUGAUGAGACUGAAUAUUACUGUCAGCUGUCCCUCUUGGGCUUCAAGACAGAUGGACACACUCAAACCCUGGCCUGCAAAAUACAAAGCUUCCUCUUCAGCUUGCUGGAAGGACGUCUUAACUCUCGGUAAAGGGUCGCUAAAACAGCAACUAACAUUCACCCACCAGCUUAGAAAAGGAAAUGAGGUGUUCACUCCCAAGAGUUCACCAAGCUUCUUUUUAGUGGCAACCCUUGGAGAGUGGCUGUAAGCGGCAGACAGAGGCCCCGCGAGUCCCUCCGGAUCCCAGUGUGCUGAGAGGCCGAGGCCAGCUCCCAUUAGCAGAUGAGAAUGGGCGAUUGGUGGAUGGACAGACGGGUGGAUAUGCAGACGGAUGGAGGGGGAAUGGGUGGGUAACUUAACGGACGAGACAACUGUUGGGUUUCAUGGAUGUCUAAGAAGCAUUGUCUACACACCCAACAGCCUUAAACGCCCCCUCUCCAGCAGGCACUCAAGGAAAUCAUUGCUCUGGGUUUCACUGUCUGGAAUCCGCCUCUCCAGCAAGCAUUUUCCUUGUCCCCACCGCAGCCACCGCCUCCAGUCCCCCACCCUUCUGGCUUGUUAUCAGCUCCGUGCCGUCUCUUUGCAUUAAAGUGACAAGCAGUCGCGCAAAGCUGACGACAGGAGGCUGGGGCUGUAAUUCGCACUGACAUUCACUGGUGCGAUCCACUUACUGCUUGGUAAGCCAAACAGGAGAUUUGUCUGAUUUUGAUCCCGGGAAGAGAAGUGACGGCGUCGCUCUCCUCCUGCCACUCAAAUCGAGGCACCAGGCUGGUCCUCAGGCCCGGGGCCGGGCUGACGACGCCCACCUGCACAACGUGGGUCUUCGGGAUCCCCUUCCCUUCCUGGGGCUGGAAUUCCCUUUCAGACCUGACAUGUGGCGAACACGGGAAGGGACGAGGGCCGUGGUUGGUGGCGGGUGGAUCCCGUGUAUUCUCUCAGCGGGGGGCAGUGCAGUUCACAGGCUGCCAGGGGCCUCCAAGGCCUCUCCGGGGGAAUUAAGGGCCCCUGGGAUGUCAGACCCCAGCUGACAGUACCUCAGCAGCCCUCUUUCUGCCUCCCCACCCCCUGUCUUUAACGUGUCCCCGCCGCGAGAGAAAUGCCACGGAAUGAGAGGCUCACAGGAAGCCACAGCAAGGAGUCAGCUUGUGGGCACUGCCUGCUACAUCAUCUACAAGGCCCCGUGUGACAUUUUUCAGACACAAAACUUGACGCCCUGGGAGGUUAAGUGACUUGCCCAUGAAAAUGUGGAACCCCCUGUUCAAAAAAAGCAGGAAAACUAUCAUUAAAGGGACUAAGAUAGAAGGCUUUUACCUUUCUUCUGUGGCCUCUGAGUUGUCGUGAUGUUUUUUAUUCGCCAUAUAAUGCUGUUCUAAGCAAAAAAACCCAAAACACAAAAAAACUAAGUAAGUGAAUAGAUGGGUGAAUGAAUAAAUAAAUGAAUAAAAUAUUGAUUAUUAGCA